GAAGUGCAGCUACCGUCAAGGCUGCCUUUUGAACCUACCUUAUGCAAACGCACUGAAGUAUAUAUCUCGUUUUGUGCUUUGCCAGCCGUAAGUUUCAGCCCCAUGCCACUUCUUCCAGAGGGUUGCAAAGAUGGGGGAUUGGGGGCAGGUACUGGUCAGGCGGGAUGGGAAAUAGGGUGACGACUCAGGAUGGGAUGUGGGGCUACACUACUUUUAGUAUGGGGAUUGCUGUCGGGGUGAGGAUGGGGCUGGGAACCCUGUCAGAGGGAUGGGGAUUGAAACCUUGACCAAGGAUGGGAUUGGGAACCCUGGCCAAGGACGGGGAUGGGACCCUGGCUGAUAGGAUGGGGAUUGCAGGCUGUCGCAGGUUUAGGAUGGGCUCGCUGGCAUAGGGUGAGGACUGGGGACACAGCUGGAGGAUUAGGAUGGAUGGUUCUGCUGUAGGAUGAGGCUGCAGGUGCAGAAUGGGGAAUACUGACAGGACUGCAACAGACCAAGGAUGGGUGGUGUAAUUGUCCAUAGUUGCUUACUUGGUGUGCUGUUACUUAUAGUGCAUCUCACAGCGUCUGGUGGAAGUGUUUAAAUGGUGGCCAAAGCCAGUACCAAACAUGCAUGUGGUUGUCAUGGUCGAUUUUGCUCACACACUUCAACUCAUGGGUCCGCAAUAUGGUGAACCAAACACCGAGAGAUGUCUUCCCAAAGAAAGGCACCCCUGCCCAACAGCACCAUAAUCAGCUGUCCAGGUAUAGCCCAUGCCCAUGUUCACCAGCACCACAACGGGCCUCACAUUACCCACUUGACACACAUGAGCACAUCUCACCAAAAGCGGCCCCCGCAGGCUGCACCACUGCUGUCUGCCAAAAGCCUGGCCAUCAUCAGUGCAUGCAUCAACAUCAGCCAUCUCACCAGGCCGUCAUGCAUUCAAUUGUUAGACAUCUGUUUAUAGUCGCGUCCCAUAGCAAACCAAACACAAACACAAGGAAGUCUAUGAGUUGGCAGCACCGAAUCUAGGCUGGGGAGUCUAACAUCAGAGUCGUCCAUGCAAUUUUGCUUCACACCAAAUGGCUGGCACUCAUUGCAAACAACACAACCAACCCUCGCCCCCUACCGUGGGGGGGACAGUGCCCACGAAUUCAUGCCUGGCACGCUCCCAAUGCGACUAAACAAGGUGACGAACCUUUAAGCGGCAGGGCCCAUAUAGGCAAUGGUCUGGUCUGGGUUGACACUACUGCAAUUUGCGGCAGUGCAACAGGUGCAGGUGCAGCCAAUGCAUGCUCUCGACGUGGGUCUUGGACUUCACCCGGCCCGUGCAUUUCGACUCGUCAACCAUUGCAGGAUAUCCUAUUAUACCUACAUGGGCAUGAGACAGGCAUGGAAAGCGACUUGGUGUAAAUGAGGAGAGAGAAGUGAACCGUUGGUGCACUCCGCCAGUUCCACAGUCAGAACAUUCUUACCUUGUCCGGCCCACGCACAUCCACGGCACCAACGUAUGCGCCAUCAUAUGCCUUAACAAAGGAGAUAGGCUGACCACCUAUGCUGGGGGUGAACCAUUGGUGCAGAUUGGUGCACGCGGGACUUCUUCAUCAUCCCGCGUUCCAAACCAUGGACAUUUUGACAGAACACCCUUGUUUGUUCUGCCAUACUAACCACAGCAUAAUAAUUUGUUGCUGUGGCCAUCCAUCGAACAUAACUCUCUAGGACGACGCGCUAUGUGCAUUCACAGCAAGUGUGCAAACAGAUACAUAGACCUCUGUGCUGCAAGUUCUCCCUCGGCCGAGAUCCGCUUCAAAGAGCGUUUGUCGCUUCAGUCUGCUUCGGAAUUUGACGCUAGAGGAAAUAAGCCAUAGAGCAAGAAAAAAAUACCUUCGGGGAACUAGAAAAUAACCCUGGUCAUUCCCCUGAUUUACGCCUAAAGAGAAAGCCGAUAUUACAGCACCUGUGUAAACGUAAGGAGUAGGUUUGUAGCUGGCACCGUUACAUAUCACAUCUGUUGCAUAAUAUGUAACGUUUUUUGUACGGUUUGUUGACGUCGGAGCCCGUUUGUCGUGAAGGGCUGCAGAAGGUGGGGUAUCCUGACGGUUACCGGCGGGGAACGCAGGGGUUACUCAUAGUUGGUACCACAUGGCCGCCUCCAAAACGUGUGGAUUCAUGAAGAGAAGCUUGCAAUUAAGAUUGUGAUCGGCAUCUUUGGAGCCAGUUGCAUGCCAGAUAGAUCCAUAGAUAGAUAGAUCGACACGUUGCCUGAAGUGCGAGCCUGUUGCAACCACUCCUUUACAUGCAGACUGUGAAAAUCUGAAGCAUUACGUUUUUAUAAUAAUAAUAACAAUUCAAAUUUAUUAUGCCUUUACCAAUGGCGCAAAUGUCUUAGGUAGGCUAGAAGUUGUUGCUACUUCUGCGCGCGGGUAGGGCCUGCAACAGACAGCUGCUAAAAUCUGAUAAACUACUGACCGGUGAUUUUGCUGAUGUUUUUAUCGCCGUACUG
RNAcentral lists this long non-coding RNA (2482 nucleotides) under Volvox carteri. RNAcentral's name for it is "long non-coding RNA (VCAR_LNC000393)". Lineage: Eukaryota; Viridiplantae; Chlorophyta; Chlorophyceae; Chlamydomonadales; Volvocaceae. The record is from RNAcentral.